UACGUAGGGUGCGAGCGUUAAUCGGAAUUACUGGGCGUAAAGGGCGCGUAGGCGGUUUCGUAAGUCCUGUGUGAAAUCCCCCGGCUCAACUGGGGAACUGCACAGGAAACUGCGAGGCUUGAGUUCGGGAGAGGGAAGCGGAAUUCCGGGUGUAGCGGUGAAAUGCGUAGAUAUCCGGAGGAACACCGGUGGCGAAGGCGGCUUCCUGGACCGACACUGACGCUGAGGCGCGAAAGCCAGGGGAGCAAACGGG
Molecule: ribosomal RNA, 253 nt
Filed under: uncultured bacterium
Lineage: Bacteria
Description: partial 16S ribosomal RNA
Rfam family: Bacterial small subunit ribosomal RNA
Source: RNAcentral